GUGUCAGCAGCCGCGGUAAGACGAACCGUGCGAACGUUAUUCGGAAUCACUGGGCUUAAAGCGCGUGUAGGCGGGAAGGCACGUCUGUCGCUGAAAUCCCCCGGCUUAACCGGGGAACGGGCGUAGAUACGACCUUCCUGGAGGAACGUAGGGGGACCUGGAACUUCCGGUGGAGCGGUGAAAUGCGUUGAGAUCGGAAGGAACGCCCGUGGCGAAAGCGAGGUCCUGGACGUUUUCUGACGCUGAGACGCGAAAGCCAGGGGAGCGAACGGGAUUAGAUACCCCAGUAGUCC
Molecule: ribosomal RNA, 293 nt
Filed under: uncultured bacterium
Lineage: Bacteria
Description: partial 16S ribosomal RNA
Rfam family: Bacterial small subunit ribosomal RNA
Source: RNAcentral